This 507-nucleotide ribosomal RNA is filed under the name uncultured bacterium. Its description in RNAcentral is "bacterial SSU rRNA". It matches the Rfam family "Bacterial small subunit ribosomal RNA", at positions 28 to 527 of the family's 1533-position model. The record is from RNAcentral.
GACGAACGCUGGCGGCGUGGAUUAGGCAUGCAAGUCGAACGGUAUCAUCCUUUCGGGGGUGAGAGAGUGGCGAACUGGUGAGUAACACGUAGGUUAUCUACCCUCAAGACGGGGACAACCCAGGGAAACUUGGGCUAAUACCGGAUGUGAGCAACUUUUAGUUGUUUGAAAGGUGGCGUAAGCUGUCGCUUGGGGAUGAGCCUGCGUCCUAUUAGUUAGUUGGUGAGGUAACGGCUCACCUAGGCAAUGAUAGGUAGGCGGCCUUAACGGGUGGUCGCCCACACUGGGAUUGAGAUACGGCCCAGACUCCUACGGGAGGCAGCAGUCGAGAAUAGUCUACAAUGGUCGGAAGACUGAUAGUGCGACGCCGCGUGAACGAUGAAUCCCUUCGGGGUGUAAAGUUCUUUUAUAUGUGAGCAGUGCUUCUUAUAUUAACAGUAUGGGGAGAGAGAUAUUAGCAUAUGAAUAAGCAACGGCUAACUCUGUGCCAGCAGCCGACGGUAAACG